Long non-coding RNA from Nothoprocta perdicaria, 398 nucleotides. RefSeq lists it as uncharacterized. The transcript is spliced from 4 exons. Lineage: Eukaryota; Metazoa; Chordata; Aves; Tinamiformes; Tinamidae. The record is from RefSeq and is a predicted model, not a curated record.
AGCACAGCUUGGUUUGAGCAUGCAGUAAUGUAGCAGAGGGCCUUCAACCAGUCCCUCACUUAAGUCUGUCUCAUCUGAAGCGCCUGGCAUCAGCAAAGAAAGGAUUGCUGUCUGCUCUGCUGCACCCUGGGGACAACAGCUCCUGGCCUUCAUGUGCGAAGCUGUGGAUUCCUGUAGGGAAGGAGAAAUUGCUGCCUAACUGAUCCCUCGUGGACUUCCUACCGAAACCAUCCAGUGCAACAUAUGAUAACAAAUGCUCUGGUUGCAGUUCAACUGCCUGGUUCUUGGAAGCCUGAGGCAGGGAGAGCAAGCACUGUUCUUCCCAUGAGCUGUAGAAAAGAAAAAAAGAAAGGAUUUGAUUGCAAACUGCAUAGCUGAGAAGCCUGUUAAAGAAAACA